CUUUUUAGCCAUAUAUGCUCACGAUUCAUAGCCCCACACAUAUCUAAGUAAACUGUUGGACAGUAUGUCUAGCCUGAAAUAGCAAGAGUUCUAAUCUCCAGUCUACAUUGGACUCAACAUGUUACAUGCUUCAUCGUUCAACAAAAUAUUGAUGCUGAAGGGAAAAUGCUAACAAGUGAGAAAAAAAAAACCAUUUAUCCAAAAGUGAAGAAUAGUAGAAGAAGGCAGCCCAGUUUUCGACUGCAUGUUCCAGGUUCGUCAGAGAGGAGAUUGAUCAAUUUCACUCAACUGUCGACUCGAAUAUUGGAUGUUUUUAAAAAAGAAAAUCUUCUGUAGACAUAAGACACCAGAUCUUCAAAUCAGAAAUUCAAAUUCAGAAAUUCAAAUCUCAAAAAAGAUCUUCAACAGAUCUAGAAACACAAAGGUGAUGGAAUUCAUCUAUGUGGCUGAUAGAGCUCUACCGCUUGCAGCAUCUAGCCCGAUGUCGUUAAAGAUUUCCAUCACGGCCCCAUGGAUAACUCGCUUUCUUGGAUCUACUCAUUGGCAACGGUUUUUCUGCACAAACGGUCUCAACUCGUUGAGCGAAUUCGCUUUGUAAGUUCGAACCCUCUAUAUGCGUGUCCCGCUGAGAAGAAAUGGCGACCAAAGCCGGCAACACGGGCAAUGGAAGCUUGGGAUGGGACAGUUUUUUUUUUUCUGAACAUGUUUUCUACAAAAAAUGCAUUGACAGACAAGUCAAGCAAGACAAGAGGAAGCUAUGUGAACAUAAUCAAGGCCAUGGGUAAUCUUCAGGUUUAUUCACCAACUUUGGGGAAGUCACAUGAAAAGAUGCAGGGUACAUACCAGCAUGUGUAUUUUUCUGAAUCUUUUACUCAAGCAGUUGGUGCUGUUGCAUUACAGCCACAGGAAGGAAAAUUAUGCUUUUCUUUAGAAAAUUGGAAAGCUACUGGAGUAAUCUGGUGUUGAUGCUCAUUUGAUUCAUUUCGUGCCAGCUAGUGAAAGCCGAAAGGCAUGUCGAAUUCAAGUUGAGCUGCUGCGGGCUGUCUCUGGAAGCAAGCAAUCCAGCCGUUGCGUUCAGUCAUUUGAACAGGAAUCUAAUGGCUGUCAAUAGGUGGCUGUCAAAACUUUGCUGGAAUGUCCACCAGAUAGCGCUAGUGUCUUUAGGGACGCAUUUCGGCCAUUUUGUUCCAAGACGCAGCAGAAAUGGUUGUUGGUCGUGACGUUUCUCACGAUGAAAAUUAAAAGGUUAUUUGUCACGUAGAAACCAAUUUGCCAAAUCAUUCAUCUCAGACUUGGAAUUGCCUGUACAUUGCCGAAAUGGCGUGCCUCGUGUGUCUCGCUGCCUGUUCUUAGGCGUACGUCUCAUCCCAUGCAAUAGUGAAAAGCAUAACAAACACUUCUUUAACGCUGUUGGAUGUUGCAGCUGAAUGGGGAAAGGUGUGACAAAGACAGAUUGAACCGUUGUAUGCAGCAUGAGGUUGCAGUGUAAUCCAGAAGUAGCUGCGCUGGUGUUACCCUUAAAUUGCUGUGCUGUUGUAGCUGAGCUGUUCCAUCUGGGUUCCUGACUUGAAAAUUUUUGUGUUGUUGUUUGCUUGCCAGUAUUUUGUAUUGUGAUUUCAAAUAGUUUGAUCUGUCGUCUUUUGAGUUUUCAUCAAUCAUGCAGUAUACGACUGAGGCAACCUGAUCAAUGUCAGGUUUGACACAGUCGAGAACUGCUAGAUAAAACAAGCUUUCUGCGCCAAACAAAUAAUAAUUUGCAUAUAACUUGCAUCAUGUUAUUAUCGCGGUAGAGAAAGCGACAGGCCUCCCCCCGCCCUGGGGGCCACAGGAAAAAUAUGUAUGACAAUAUUAUAAAUUUUGAAAAAAAACUUGUUAAAUUGUUCGAAUAAAAUUUUCGCGAUAAUUUUUUAAAUAACUUUGUAAAUUUUCCAAAAACAAGUCUGGACUUAAAGGGAAUUUAAUAAUGCUGCAAAAAUUAAGAUUUUGAAUUU
RNAcentral lists this long non-coding RNA (1991 nucleotides) under Daphnia pulicaria. RNAcentral's name for it is "uncharacterized LOC124335935, transcript variant X2". Lineage: Eukaryota; Metazoa; Arthropoda; Branchiopoda; Diplostraca; Daphniidae. The record is from RNAcentral.